Molecule: small RNA, 57 nt
Filed under: Helianthus annuus (common sunflower)
Lineage: Eukaryota; Viridiplantae; Streptophyta; Magnoliopsida; Asterales; Asteraceae
Source: RNAcentral
AGUUGGUCGGAGGUGUGAUCACUCCUCUGAUGAGUCCAUAACAUGAUGAAACCAGCG